RNAcentral lists this microRNA precursor (103 nucleotides) under Marmota monax (woodchuck). Lineage: Eukaryota; Metazoa; Chordata; Mammalia; Rodentia; Sciuridae. The record is from RNAcentral.
AGUGGGAUAGCUGGGUCAUAUGGUGGUUCCAUUCCUAAUUUUUUGGUAAAUCUUCAUACUGUUUUCCACAAUGAUUGCACCAAUUUGCAGUCCCACCAACAAU